UCUGCCGGCACGAGUGUCGGCAUCGAGCGAGGCAUGUUGAAUAUGUCUCGCGAGAGGGAACCCGGUGAGAGUCCGGGACUGACCCGCAGCGGUAUGCAGGAACGACCGCCGUCAUCAGCACUGGUCUUGGGACCGGGAAGCGACGGCCACUAGGAGCACCACCCGGUGCGUGCCUGCGAGUCCGAAGACCUGCCGGCUGUGCCGGGCGUGC
RNAcentral lists this non-coding RNA (211 nucleotides) under Mycobacterium fragae. Lineage: Bacteria; Bacillati; Actinomycetota; Actinomycetes; Mycobacteriales; Mycobacteriaceae. The record is from RNAcentral.